AACGUAGGGGACAAGCGUUAUCCGGAUUUACUGGGCGUAAAGCGCCCGUAGGCGGCUUGAUAAGUUGGACGUGAAAGCUCCCGGCUUAACUGGGAGAGGCCGUUCAAAACUGACAGGCUAGAGUGAGGAAGAGGAGAGCGGAAUUCCCGGUGUAGUGGUGGAAUGCGUAGAUAUCGGGAGGAACACCAGUGGCGAAAGCGGCUCUCUGGUCCUAAACUGACGCUGAGGGGCGAAAGCGUGGGGAGCGAACGGG
RNAcentral lists this ribosomal RNA (253 nucleotides) under uncultured bacterium. RNAcentral's name for it is "partial 16S ribosomal RNA". It matches the Rfam family "Bacterial small subunit ribosomal RNA", at positions 524 to 776 of the family's 1533-position model. The record is from RNAcentral.